CUGUAUGAAGUUGGAAUCGCUAGUAAUCGCGGAUCAGCAUGCCGCGGUGAAUACGCUCCCGGGCCUUGUACACACCGCCCGUCACACCAUGAGAGUCGGGAACACCCGAAGUCCGUAGCCUAACUUAUCUGAGAGGGCGCGGCCGAAGGUGGGUUCGAUAAUUGGGUGAAGUCGUAACAAGGUAUC
This 186-nucleotide ribosomal RNA is filed under the name uncultured bacterium. Its description in RNAcentral is "partial 16S ribosomal RNA". It matches the Rfam family "Bacterial small subunit ribosomal RNA", at positions 1316 to 1500 of the family's 1533-position model. The record is from RNAcentral.